GCAUCCGUAGUAUAAUGGAUAGUAUAUCAGAUUCCGAUUCUGACGAUAUGGGUUCGACUCCCGUCGGGUGCACAG
This 75-nucleotide transfer RNA is filed under the name Cytophaga hutchinsonii ATCC 33406. RNAcentral's name for it is "tRNA-Arg". It matches the Rfam family "tRNA". Rfam says of the family: Transfer RNA (tRNA) molecules are approximately 80 nucleotides in length. Their secondary structure includes four short double-helical elements and three loops (D, anti-codon, and T loops). Further hydrogen bonds mediate the characteristic L-shaped molecular structure. tRNAs have two regions of fundamental functional importance: the anti-codon, which is responsible for specific mRNA codon recognition, and the 3' end, to which the tRNAs corresponding amino acid is attached (by aminoacyl-tRNA synthetases). tRNAs cope with the degeneracy of the genetic code in two manners: having more than one tRNA (with a specific anti-codon) for a particular amino acid; and 'wobble' base-pairing, i.e. permitting non-standard base-pairing at the 3rd anti-codon position. The record is from RNAcentral. Lineage: Bacteria; Pseudomonadati; Bacteroidota; Cytophagia; Cytophagales; Cytophagaceae.